Molecule: long non-coding RNA, 322 nt
Organism: Boleophthalmus pectinirostris (great blue-spotted mudskipper)
Lineage: Eukaryota; Metazoa; Chordata; Actinopteri; Gobiiformes; Gobiidae
Exons: 3
Source: RefSeq, a predicted model, not a curated record
AAGAGUGACGUCCAGAGCUCUGCUGGAGCUGUGGGGAAGUUCAUGAAUGUUACAGCUGAUGUUUCAGAAAAAAGGAAGAUGUUUGAGAAUCAACAAAACACAGACCACAGAUGAACAAAGUGAUGUGGCAUUAGGAGACUUUAUACCAGAUGCCCUCCCUGUUACUGUGUUUAGAGGAAGAAAAGCAGCACAUGGCAGAGACCAGAGCUUCUUCACUGGAAUAAAUCUUCACACUGUCCAGCUCCAAACUGUGUGUCUCUGUCCCUGUGCUCUCUUUGUGUUUGAUUCUGUUUAAGACAAUACAGAUCUGUAGAAAACUAAA